This 451-nucleotide long non-coding RNA is filed under the name Elaeis guineensis (African oil palm). RNAcentral's name for it is "long non-coding RNA (EGUI_LNC063401)". Lineage: Eukaryota; Viridiplantae; Streptophyta; Magnoliopsida; Arecales; Arecaceae. The record is from RNAcentral.
UUUUUUUUUUUUCUGUUUUGGGCUUAUGUGGGCUUGAUUUGGUUGGGCUAUCACACAAUCACCAAGCAGGCUGAUCCAUUUACAAGUGUUUUUAUUCCCAUGUGUCACACGGAGCGUCCAAAAGCAACAGAAUUUCAGAAUUUCUAGAAUCCAAAAUAUCAGUCAGUUCGUCAGCUUGAAAAUAUCAUGAUGUCCGUAUCAUCGAGAUUCUACAACUUCUGUUAUUUCUAUAAGUUUCAAAUUUCUAAAGUCACACUUGUUCCCUCGACUACCUCCAAGCACUGUUCAUUGAGCAACUAAGCAUGUGCUGUUAUUAUACACUUAUGAACAUCAAUCCAGUUAAUUUCUCAAUACAUAUUGAAGAUUUAUUAUCGAACCCAUAGAAAAUGAAAUAUAUAUUUCUAAAACCAUAGAACUUGAUCCUUUCAAUCAUGUGUUCCUGAGGUACUGC